This is a long non-coding RNA of Ruditapes philippinarum (Manila clam), 210 nucleotides long. RefSeq lists it as uncharacterized. The transcript is spliced from 2 exons. NCBI's taxonomy places the organism in Eukaryota, Metazoa, Mollusca, Bivalvia, Venerida, Veneridae. The record is from RefSeq and is a predicted model, not a curated record.
GCCAUAACUCUGCCAAAAAUCAUUGAACCGGAAAAUGCUGACAAUAUGCACAACUAGACUUGGUACUGAUCAUUCCUGUAAAGUUUGGAUGAAAUUGCACCAGUAGUUUAUGAAGAGUAGUCCGGACAAGUUUUACAGACAGACGGACAGACAGACGACGGAGAAGUGAUCCCUAUAUGUCGCCACUACUCCGUAGAGGCGACACAAAAA